CCUACGGGUGGCAGCAGUGGGGAAUAUUGCGCAAUGGGCGAAAGCCUGACGCAGCGACGCCGCGUGAGGGAUGAAGGUCUUCGGAUCGUAAACCUCUGUCAGCAGGGAAGAACGGUCACUGUGCUAAUCAGCAGUGAAUUGACGGUACCUGCAAAGGAAGCACCGGCUAACUCCGUGCCAGCAGCCGCGGUAAUACGGAGGGUGCGAGCGUUAAUCGGAAUUUCUGGGCGUAAAGCGCUCGUAGGCGGUAUGUCAAGGCAAGGGUGAAAUCCCCGCGCUCAACGUGGGAACUGCCUUUGAAACUGGCAGACUGGAGUGUGUGAGAGGAUAGUGGAAUGCCAGGUGUAGGAGUGAAAUCCGUAGAUAUCUGGAGGAACAUCAGUGGCGAAGGCGACUAUCUGGCACAUAACUGACGCUGAGGAGCGAAAGCGUGGGUAGCAAACAGGAUUAGAUACCCCUGUAGUC
RNAcentral lists this ribosomal RNA (465 nucleotides) under uncultured bacterium. RNAcentral's name for it is "partial 16S ribosomal RNA". It matches the Rfam family "Bacterial small subunit ribosomal RNA", at positions 338 to 795 of the family's 1533-position model. The record is from RNAcentral.